CACGGGGGGAGCAAGCGUUGUUCGGAAUCACUGGGCGUAAAGGGAGCGUAGGCGGGCUUCUAAGUUAGGUGUUUAAUCCCAGGGCCCAACCCUGGUCAGGCACCUAAAACUGGGAGUCUUGAAUAGUGGAGAGGACGAUGGAAUUGGGGGUGUAGCGGUGGAAUGCGUAGAGAUCCCCAAGAACACCAGUUGCGAAGGCGGUCGUCUGGACACAUAUUGACGCUGAGGCUCGAAAGCAUGGGGAGCAAACAGG
Molecule: ribosomal RNA, 253 nt
Filed under: uncultured bacterium
Lineage: Bacteria
Description: partial 16S ribosomal RNA
Rfam family: Bacterial small subunit ribosomal RNA
Source: RNAcentral